This 284-nucleotide long non-coding RNA is filed under the name Canis lupus familiaris (dog). Its description in RNAcentral is "lncRNA (ENSCAFG00845025004.1)". Lineage: Eukaryota; Metazoa; Chordata; Mammalia; Carnivora; Canidae. The record is from RNAcentral.
GAGGACAGUGAUGUGCCAUGGGGGAAAUGGCCAAGAGGCCAUGUUGUCACUGUAAAUCAGAAAAUUUAGGAGAGGCAGCUCUUCUGCGUGGGGACCUUGAAAUGCAAAGAAGCUCUGCUGGAGGCAAAAGAUUUCGAGGACCUGUGGUGCAGUGGACAGGACCCAGCCUGUACCCCGAGGACUCACCCCGAGAUAAACAGGAUAAAUCAUUCUCCUCUACAGUCCUCUCCUACCCUUCCUGGAGCCUCCGCUGUGGAGACCAAAAAAGAGAGAAGCUUCUCUAG